GUGUUAGGGGUCUCGAGAGGUAAUCUAAAAGGCGCAAAGAAAAUUGGUGGUGGGAAGGAGAGGACCAAGAAAAGUAAAACCAAAAAGGUUGCUUAUACGACAUCAAUAGAAAGCUUAGACGAGGAGGAGGAAGAGGAGGAAUAUGCACACCAAGGUGAGAAAGAAAAUUCAUGAUGUGAACCAAGUGAAAUGCAUCAAAGACGAAAACGGCAUAGUGUUGGUGGAAGAGGACACAAUAGACAGAGAUAACUUAUAUUUAUUUUGAAUCUUCUGGUCUUAAAAUAAAGAUACGUGGAAUAUGCUAAAAUGUUCUUUAAUCUUGUGGUCAUAAACAUAUCACACGUCGAAAGCUCAAAGUUAAAAGACAUGCUUUGAGCAGACAAC
This 384-nucleotide long non-coding RNA is filed under the name Solanum tuberosum (potato). RNAcentral describes it as "long non-coding RNA (STUB_LNC011803)". Lineage: Eukaryota; Viridiplantae; Streptophyta; Magnoliopsida; Solanales; Solanaceae. The record is from RNAcentral.